Molecule: ribosomal RNA, 253 nt
Filed under: uncultured bacterium
Lineage: Bacteria
Description: partial 16S ribosomal RNA
Rfam family: Bacterial small subunit ribosomal RNA
Source: RNAcentral
UACGUAGGGUGCGAGCGUUACUCGGAAUUACUGGGCGUAAAGCGUGCGCAGGCGGUUCGUCGUGUCUGAUGUGAAAGCCCCGGGCUCAACCUGGGAAUGGCAUUGGAAACUGGCGGACUAGAGUGUGGCAGAGGGGGGUGGAAUUCCGCGUGUAGCAGUGAAAUGCGUAGAGAUGCGGAGGAACACCGAUGGCGAAGGCAGCCCCCUGGGCUAACACUGACGCUCAGGCACGAAAGCGUGGGGAGCAAACAGG